UACAUGGGUGGCGACCGGCAAACGGGUGCGGAACACGUACGCAACCUUCCUUCAGGCGGGGAAUAGCCCAGAGAAAUUUGGAUUAAUACCCCAUAAUAUUUUGAGAUGGCAUCAUCUUAUUAUUAAAGCUACGGCACCUGGAGAUGGGCGUGCGGCUGAUUAGGUAGUUGGCGGGGUAAUGGCCCACCAAGCCUACGAUCAGUAGCUGAUGUGAGAGCAUGAUCAGCCACACGGGCACUGAGACACGGGCCCGACUCCUACGGGAGGCAGCAGUAAGGAAUAUUGGUCAAUGGACGCAAGUCUGAACCAGCCAUGCCGCGUGGAGGAUGAAGGUCCUCUGGAUUGUAAACUUCUUUUAUCUGGGACGAAAAAAGGGUUUUCUAACUCGUCUGACGGUACCAGAUGAAUAAGCACCGGCUAACUCCGUGCCAGCAGCCGCGGUAAUACGGAGGGUGCAAGCGUUAUCCGGAUUCACUGGGUUUAAAGGGUGCGUAGGCGGGCAUUUAAGUCAGUGGUGAAAUACCUGAGCUUAACUUGGGAACUGCCAUUGAUACUAUUUGUCUUGAAUGUCGUGGAGGUUAGCGGAAUAUGUCAUGUAGCGGUGAAAUGCUUAGAUAUGACAUAGAACACCUAUUGCGAAGGCAGCUAACUACGCGAAUAUUGACGCUGAGGCACGAAAGCGUGGGGAUCAAACAGGAUUAGAUACCCUGGUAGUCCACGCCCUAAACGAUGAUUACUCGACAUUAGCGAUACACU
This 756-nucleotide ribosomal RNA is filed under the name uncultured bacterium. Its description in RNAcentral is "SSU rRNA". It matches the Rfam family "Bacterial small subunit ribosomal RNA", at positions 81 to 835 of the family's 1533-position model. The record is from RNAcentral.